UACGAGAGCCCCAAGCGUUAUCCGGAAUCAUUGGGCGUAAAGGGUGCGUAGGUGGUUUGGUUAGUCUCCCGUUAAAGACUCGGGCUUAACUCGAGGAAAGCGGGGGAAACGGCCAGGCUAGAGUAUGUGAGGGGUGUGUGGAACUCAAAGUGUAGGGGUGAAAUCCGUUGAUAUUUUGGGGAACACCGAAAGCGAAGGCAGCACACUGGCACAUUACUGACACUGAGGCACGAAACCCUGGGUAGCGAAUGGG
This 253-nucleotide unclassified non-coding RNA is filed under the name uncultured Parcubacteria group bacterium. RNAcentral describes it as "contains 16S-23S intergenic spacer region". It matches the Rfam family "Bacterial small subunit ribosomal RNA", at positions 524 to 776 of the family's 1533-position model. The record is from RNAcentral.